Zeugodacus cucurbitae (melon fly) is the source of this 1580-nucleotide long non-coding RNA. RefSeq lists it as uncharacterized. Lineage: Eukaryota; Metazoa; Arthropoda; Insecta; Diptera; Tephritidae. The record is from RefSeq and is a predicted model, not a curated record. The transcript is spliced from 4 exons.
UAAGUGUCAGAAUUGGUCCAUUUUUGAAGAAUUUAUUUUUUUUUUUUUGUAAAUUUAAGGUUUUUUUUGUAUAAAAACUGUUACAAAAAUGUUAUUCAAAAUAUUGGCGGUCGCUAGCUACUACUUUUGACCAUCUUUCUGGCAGCUUACGUAUUCCGUGUAAAUGUCGAGAAUUCAGCUCAAAAAGUGACAUUUUCAGUUGAGAAUAAGUUUGGGAUGCAAACAGAUCUCUACAAAUAUUUUAUUGGGUUAAUGUUGACACAAAUGUCCAAGAUCGAUAUAAAACGAUUUAAUCGACCAGUGCUUGACUCUAGAGACAACUAUUGGAAAACGGAAGCAAAGUUGUAGACCAAUAAUAAAACAAUUUAUUGAACUGCAAUUUACGGAUAUUUAACUCAUUUUUAUUGAAAAAUAUACCUCCAAGAACAACGGGCACAAAUAGCUUAGCGUGACAUAAUCCGGCGCUCCUUGACAAGCGUGCACGCUACAAUGGUGAUUUGGUGCAACUGAAAGAGAUACCCUUGAACGGCUAAACUGAGUUAAAGGACAAGGCCAUGGAACUGUUGGUUGUAGCGCAGGGCAUGAGACACCAGCACAUUAACCCCUUAAGUGGUUGGCUAUCCGAUCCGAAUCGCACAGUUAUGGUGUUUGUUUACUGUUCACGCGGUUCGUUGCUCAUCAUGGACGAAAUCAAAUUGGAUUGGAGUUUUCGUCUGAGUUUGUUGACGGAUUUGGUGAACGAAUCUUCUUAAUUGAAUUCUUAAAAUAAGUCGCUCGAGCUAAAUGUGGUAGUCACCAGUAUCUAUAUACCCGUAUGAAUUACGCGAUAUAUAAUAGAUUAUCUCAAUACUCAAAUAAUUUUCGAAAGCUUACUUCGUAAUUGGCUUGAACAAAUGAUGAAUUUAUUUUAAUACAUCAAAACGUUGUUAAUUUUAUCCCAAACCUGUGUCUGAAGUCUAGAAGAUCCCGGUGGCAGAAAAUUUGAAAAUGGGCGUGUCCGUCGAAGCGGAGGGAUUCCAUGAUGUCAUUAUUUAUUUUACCGAUAUCGUUGGUUUUACAACAAUUGCUGCGCACUGCAGUACCGUACAGGUUGUGGAUCUGCUGAAUGAUCUAUCAACGCUUUCAAUGUGUACAUGGUGGAAACCACUGGCGAUGCUCAUGAUUCGAUUAUAAAAAGUUUGGUAAGUAGCAGAGAGCAGCUUCGGGUAUGUUCGAGUGUGUUCAAUCACACUAGCUUAAAUUCGGUACGAGUGUGUCGUAACACUCUUCAAACACGUGUUCGAUCGAGUUUGGAACCCGAAGCGAAAAUAACACAAACGAACAAUCACGACGGUCCUAUCUUCGAGUGCAAGCAGCAAACUCGGAUUUUAUGUAUAUUAUAUUUUCGGGUGUGUCGUGCACGUGUUGAUUGUGAUCGACACACUCGAGUGGCACUCGAAGACCAAAAAAUAAUAGAUAAACAUACGUACACACAUAUGUAUGUAUGUUGGCGUCGGGAUGACGCGUUCUGUCUUAGCUUUUUUGGUUGAAUAAUUUGAAUAUUAGACGUACAUAGUACAUAUUAUAAAAGAAUAAUUCAA